RNAcentral lists this transfer RNA (63 nucleotides) under Olsenella uli. It matches the Rfam family "tRNA", at positions 6 to 65 of the family's 71-position model. From Rfam's summary of the family: Transfer RNA (tRNA) molecules are approximately 80 nucleotides in length. Their secondary structure includes four short double-helical elements and three loops (D, anti-codon, and T loops). Further hydrogen bonds mediate the characteristic L-shaped molecular structure. tRNAs have two regions of fundamental functional importance: the anti-codon, which is responsible for specific mRNA codon recognition, and the 3' end, to which the tRNAs corresponding amino acid is attached (by aminoacyl-tRNA synthetases). tRNAs cope with the degeneracy of the genetic code in two manners: having more than one tRNA (with a specific anti-codon) for a particular amino acid; and 'wobble' base-pairing, i.e. permitting non-standard base-pairing at the 3rd anti-codon position. The record is from RNAcentral. Lineage: Bacteria; Bacillati; Actinomycetota; Coriobacteriia; Coriobacteriales; Atopobiaceae.
CUUAGCUCAGCUGGAUAGAGCGUCUGCCUCCGGAGCAGAAGGUCGCGGGUUCGAAUCCCACAG